RNAcentral lists this long non-coding RNA (441 nucleotides) under Androctonus crassicauda. The record is from RNAcentral. Lineage: Eukaryota; Metazoa; Arthropoda; Arachnida; Scorpiones; Buthidae.
AACACGAGAGACGCCGCACUAUAGGCCACCUAGGCCACUACAGUACCACGAACAAGACGCGUUAAUUAUAAUAAAUCUAAAAAUGUCAUACAAUUUAAAGGAAUGAGUGAGAGGAAAUCGGAUAAGGACGCAGACCCGAGUUUGAAAUGUUUGGCGACCGAUCAAAUGAGUUAUUUGACGAUAAAUACUGGAGCUAAGGUCACUUUAUUAUCAAGGGAAUUUGUAGACACCUUGGGCAGAUUCUCGUUCCGAUAUUGUGAUACAAGCUUAAAGAUACAAAGUGUCACCGAACACUUAACACGAACCUAUGGAAGGUACGAAUUUACCUUGCAGAUAGGUUCACUUGCGAUUUAGACACGCCUGUUACAUCGUAGAUCCGUAUAUAACUGCACCGAAUGAUGGUAUUUUAUGUCGCGACAUUAUUGUGAGACAGAAUUUAAU